RNAcentral lists this ribosomal RNA (482 nucleotides) under uncultured bacterium. RNAcentral's name for it is "partial 16S ribosomal RNA". It matches the Rfam family "Bacterial small subunit ribosomal RNA", at positions 30 to 507 of the family's 1533-position model. The record is from RNAcentral.
AUUGAACGCUGGCGGCAUGCCUUACACAUGCAAGUCGAACGGUAACAGGUCUUCGGAUGCUGACGAGUGGCGAACGGGUGAGUAAUACAUCGGAACGUGCCCGAUCGUGGGGGAUAACGAGGCGAAAGCUUUGCUAAUACCGCAUACGAUCUACGGAUGAAAGCGGGGGAUCUUCGGACCUCGCGCGGACGGAGCGGCCGAUGGCAGAUUAGGUAGUUGGUGGGAUAAAAGCUUACCAAGCCGACGAUCUGUAGCUGGUCUGAGAGGAUGAUCAGCCACACUGGGACUGAGACACGGCCCAGACUCCUACGGGAGGCAGCAGUGGGGAAUUUUGGACAUUGGGCGAAAGCCUGAUCCAGCCAUGCCGCGUGCAGGAUGAAGGCCUUCGGGUUGUAAACUGCUUUUGUACGGAACGAAAAGCCUCUUUCUAAUAAAGAGGGGUCAUGACGGUACCGUAAGAAUAAGCACCGGCUAACUACGUG